ACACGCAUGACACACUGCAUAUCAAUAAGCGGAGGAAAAGAAACUAACAAGGAUUCCCCUAGUAACGGCGAGUGAAGCGGGAAGAGCUCAAAUUUGAAAUCUUCAAGGUUCUACCUUGACGAAUUGUAGUUUAUAGAAGUGUUUUCUGUUAGUAGAGUGGCAAAAGUUCUUUGGAAUAGGACAUCAUAGAGGGUGAGAAUCCCGUAUUUGGUCAUUCUUUCUAGCUUUGUGAUACACUUUCAACGAGUCGGAUUGUUUGGGAAUGCAGUCCAAAAUGGGUGGUAAAUUUCAUCUAAAGCUAAAUAUUGGCGAGAGACCGAUAGCGAACAAGUACCGUGAGGGAAAGAUGAAAAGAACUUUGAAAAGAGAGUUAAACAGUACGUGAAAUUGUCAAAAGGGAAGCGUUUGACACCAGUGUUGUUUUUCCGAAAAUCAAUUACGAAUGUUUUGUUUUUAAGAAGUUAUGACUUCAUCGGUUUGCUUCUUUCUUUAUGAAACUUUCUUAAUGCACUUUUCGGUUAACAAGUCAACAUCAAUUUCUUUUGUUGUAAAAGGGUAAGAGGAAGGUGGCUUACGCUUCGGCGUAAGUGUUUAUAGCCUUUUACCUCUGCAAUCGGAGAGAUUGAGGACAGCAGCGUAGACUCUUCGGGGUUAGAUACACUUGUGCUAAGCUAUAGCCUUGUAUAGACAACUUGUUGACUAUGCUCAGUCAUGUAGCUUACUCGCUUGUGCUAUUUUACCUACGCUUAGGAUGUUGAGCGCAUGUCUCUCUCU
RNAcentral lists this ribosomal RNA (774 nucleotides) under uncultured Neocallimastigales. RNAcentral describes it as "partial large subunit ribosomal RNA". It matches the Rfam family "Eukaryotic large subunit ribosomal RNA", at positions 23 to 616 of the family's 3401-position model. Lineage: Eukaryota; Fungi; Neocallimastigomycota; Neocallimastigomycetes; Neocallimastigales. The record is from RNAcentral.